RNAcentral lists this small nuclear RNA (160 nucleotides) under Dasypus novemcinctus (nine-banded armadillo). Its description in RNAcentral is "U1 spliceosomal RNA (ENSDNOG00000026527.1)". It matches the Rfam family "U1 spliceosomal RNA". Rfam says of the family: U1 is a small nuclear RNA (snRNA) component of the spliceosome (involved in pre-mRNA splicing). Its 5' end forms complementary base pairs with the 5' splice junction, thus defining the 5' donor site of an intron. Lineage: Eukaryota; Metazoa; Chordata; Mammalia; Cingulata; Dasypodidae. The record is from RNAcentral.
AAAAUUGCCUCACAUACUUACCAUGAUCACUAAGGUGGUUUUCCCAGAGCAAGUCUUAUUCAUUGUACCCUGGGUAUGCUGACCCCUGCAACUUUCCAAAUAUGGGAAAUUUGACUGCAUAAUUUGUGGUUGCAGGGGGCUAUGUUCUUUCUUUCCCAUG